RNAcentral lists this ribosomal RNA (1026 nucleotides) under Salmonella enterica subsp. enterica. RNAcentral describes it as "partial 23S ribosomal RNA". It matches the Rfam family "Bacterial large subunit ribosomal RNA", at positions 602 to 1547 of the family's 2925-position model. The record is from RNAcentral. RNAcentral also lists the same sequence under 1 other name. Lineage: Bacteria; Pseudomonadati; Pseudomonadota; Gammaproteobacteria; Enterobacterales; Enterobacteriaceae.
UACCUUUUGUAUAAUGGGUCAGCGACUUAUAUUCUGUAGCAAGGUUAACCGAAUAGGGGAGCCGGAGGGAAACCGAGUCUUAAUUGGGCGUUAAGUUGCAGGGUAUAGACCCGAAACCCGGUGAUCUAGCCAUGGGCAGGUUGAAGGUUGGGUAACACUAACUGGAGGACCGAACCGACUAAUGUUGAAAAAUUAGCGGAUGACCUGUGGCUGGGGGUGAAAGGCCAAUCAAACCGGGAGAUAGCUGGUUCUCCCCGAAAGCUAUUUAGGUAGCGCCUCGUGAAUUCAUCUCCGGGGGUAGAGCACUGUUUCGGCUAGGGGGCCAUCCCGGCUUACCAACCCGAUGCAAACUGCGAAUACCGGAGAAUGUUAUCACGGGAGACACACGGCGGGUGCUAACGUCCGUCGUGAAGAGGGAAACAACCCAGACCGCCAGCUAAGGUCCCAAAGUCAUGGUUAAGUGGGAAACGAUGUGGGAAGGCCCAGACAGCCAGGAUGUUGGCUUAGAAGCAGCCAUCAUUUAAAGAAAGCGUAAUAGCUCACUGGUCGAGUCGGCCUGCGCGGAAGAUGUAACGGGGCUAAACCAUGCACCGAAGCUGCGGCAGCGAACGUAUCACCCAAGACAACUUUACGGAGUUGACGAUUGACGGAGCGAAGCGACGUCAAAGCGUUCAUUAAAGUCGAGUUGGCUUAGGGAUACGUUCGUUGGGUAGGGGAGCGUUCUGUAAGCCUGUGAAGGUGUGUCGUGAGGCAUGCUGGAGGUAUCAGAAGUGCGAAUGCUGACAUAAGUAACGAUAAAGCGGGUGAAAAGCCCGCUCGCCGGAAGACCAAGGGUUCCUGUCCAACGUUAAUCGGGGCAGGGUGAGUCGACCCCUAAGGCGAGGCCGAAAGGCGUAGUCGAUGGGAAACGGGUUAAUAUUCCCGUACUUGGUGUUACUGCGAAGGGGGGACGGAGAAGGCUAUGUUGGCCGGGCGACGGUUGUCCCGGUUUAAGCGUGUAGGUGUGUGUUCCAGGUAAAUCCGGUU